This 468-nucleotide ribosomal RNA is filed under the name uncultured bacterium. Its description in RNAcentral is "partial 16S ribosomal RNA". It matches the Rfam family "Bacterial small subunit ribosomal RNA", at positions 28 to 507 of the family's 1533-position model. The record is from RNAcentral.
GACGAACGCUGGCGGCGUGCUUAACACAUGCAAGUCGAACGGAAAGGCCCUGCUUUUGUGGGGUGCUCGAGUGGCGAACGGGUGAGUAACACGUGAGUAACCUGCCCUUGACUUUGGGAUAACUUCAGGAAACUGGGGCUAAUACCGGAUAGGAGCUCCUGCUGCAGGGUGGGGGUUGGAAAGUUUCGGCGGUUGGGGAUGGACUCGCGGCUUAUCAGCUUGUUGGUGGGGUAGUGGCUUACCAAGGCUUUGACGGGUAGCCGGCCUGAGAGGGUGACCGGCCACAUUGGGACUGAGCUGCGGCCCAGACUCCUACGGGGGGCAGCAGUGGGGAAUAUUGCACGAUGGGCGGAAGCCUGAUGCAGCAACGCCGCGUGCGGGAUGACGGCCUUCGGGUUGUAAACCGCUUUCGCCUGUGCCGAAGCGUGAGUGACGGUAAUGGAUAAAGAAGCACCGGCUAACUACGUG